CCUGCUACAGAUACGCAAGUCGUAAAAUGGGGACAUAAAAAACAUUGGGGACUUGAUUUAAGUCCCCAAACUUUUUUAUCGUUGAAAACGAAAAAUUGACAUGUCUAAAUCCUAAAAAUAUCAAAAAAAUAACGUGUCCCAGUUACGGGGUUUUAUCGGACACAUGAUUACACAGAUAUCGUGUUGAUUGAAAUUGCCAUCUUCACUUACACAUCUCUGACGUUACACACUUCUAGAUUACGCAUGCGCGUGUGUAAAAAAAGCGGAAGUCCAAUUGUUUCGAAGCGGGAUACAAUAAACAUGUGGAAAAGAAGACACAGAGGAAAGCCUGGACACAGAAUCCUAGAUUCUUUUGAUAAAGAUGAUUUUUAUGCUGAAAACGAAUGUUCAAGGCAACCAGAAUCUUGAGUCCAUCCUGAACAUAGAGACAACACAGAUAUUAGCAAAGCUGGAUAAUGUUGCUAGAGGAUUAGUUAAUGCAACUCAGCAAGGACUAGUGAUGGAUAUGUUCCAGGUUCCACAGCUAGGAGAAUGUCAGGAAGAAAAGCCUCAUCAUUAAAAGUGUUACAGCAUCUUCAGAUGGUGAAAUGUCAAGCAAUAAGUGCAUUCCAAGCCCUCAAGAAGUUGUGUCAAGCCCUAGUCGUAAAGGCAUUCCAGAUCUAAAGAAUAGACAUGGACCUAUAUGUAUGGUUUUAUUGAUGAAAGUGUGCCAUCCCCAGUGACAAAGGUGAACCAGUUUCUGAAAAUGGAGAUGAAGCUUGACCCUGGAAAGAAAGCAUGCCUGUCUAGGGACUGAGAUCUGCAAGUUCUAAAUGAAGGAGAUUUGCCAGGUACUGAUAUUACUGAUAUCCUACAUGUGGGUCCCAUCUGCUCAAGGUUCCAAUAGUGAAAAAUCUUGGUUAGGAAUGAAGUGUCAUCAGAGGCACUAAAGGAAACUGAUGGCAUUGUUUUUGUGUGGGUGAUGAGAAUAAGAGUGAGGAGGAGAUAGAUGACAGUCAAGACAAUCAGGAUGUCCAUAUUGUCACUCCAGGGAAGAAGAAGUCAUUUCUGAUCCUAGAUCUACUGUGGAAGAUUCUACAUGCAAGUGACAAGAGAUACAAAAAAAUCCCAAGGACAUCAUGAGAAAUGAAUUUAAUCAACAGACAUUGUGGAAAAGAUUUCCUAAAAAAUUGUAAUAGGACCUUAGAGAAGUGUAAAACACCAAGGAUAUAAUCUUGUUAAAAAACAGAGAAAAUCUAUAUUAACAUUCUACUUUCAAUUGAUAUACUUUGAGAAAUAUGAUAAACACUGUGUUUUAAAGCCACAGUAAUGGAGGACAUUGAAUUCUUUGUAGCAGUUUUAUCAUUAGGCCAUUCCAAUUUUUUUCUGUGUUUAGUGUCUGCGGAUGGAUUGGUUUUGAGGUCAUGCAAUCAAGAACAAACACAAAAUGAAAUUGACAAAUACAAAUCUUUGACAAGCAAUUUACUCUUCUGGGAUCAGCAUCUCUCUUUUUUAAAAGUGAUGUGCUCAAGUUUUUUUUUUUUUUUUUUCAUUAAACUAGUAGUUGUAGUAGUUUAAUUUAGUUAUAAUAUGAGGAAAAUUCUCAAAUGAUGCUAAAGGAGUUCUAGAACUUUGCGUAAAAUGUUGUUUUUUCCCCUUUUGGUUUGUAAUUUUUUUUUUGGAAGGAAAGAAAUGUUUUGAAAUUUAGGUUGGAUGCUAAACAAAGAAAAAACUUGGAAUGGCCUCAUAUAACCUACAUGGACUAAACUUGCAUAGAUGAAGAGUGCUUAAGAAGCUGUGCAUGAUGUAUGUAGGAAAUGAUUUUGAGGUAUUAAAUAUUCUAUGCAAAAGGAAAUUUUCUCAAUUUAGUUAAUUUUUGCAAAAAAAUGUUUAAGCAUCACAUACAUAACCUUUCUGAAAGUGAAAAAAAUA
Long non-coding RNA from Saccostrea cuccullata (small rock oyster), 1911 nucleotides. RefSeq lists it as uncharacterized. The record is from RefSeq and is a predicted model, not a curated record. Lineage: Eukaryota; Metazoa; Mollusca; Bivalvia; Ostreida; Ostreidae. The transcript has 5 exons.